RNAcentral lists this long non-coding RNA (831 nucleotides) under Phascolarctos cinereus (koala). RNAcentral's name for it is "lncRNA (ENSPCIG00000009679.2)". Lineage: Eukaryota; Metazoa; Chordata; Mammalia; Diprotodontia; Phascolarctidae. The record is from RNAcentral.
GCCAAAAAAAAAAAAAAGAAAGAAAUCUCUCUGCUGAAGCCUGACAAAAGUCAAAGUAGUGGGUUUGAGGAACAGGCAGAUAAAUAGAAUCUAAACAAGUCCAAGUGCCACGGAGGUGGGGAAAGUCCUGCUUGAAUGCAACUGGAUGAGGUAACACUGUCUAGUCUUCCGGGCUAUAUUUUAUAGAUGAAAGUUAUCUAGUGAACUGAGAUUCUUCAGAUAGCCCACUUGGGCCACGAUCAGCUGGAAGUGACUUUCUACCCUGACCUCCCCAUAUCAAAUAACUCUCCCGAUGAACUUAGAAAUAGGAUCAGAGAUUUAAACUAGAGUUGGGAAGCCAGUCAAAAAGGAGUUGGAGAGUGGCAGUGAUGAACGGUUUUCUCGGUUUUAUGGGAACCGUUACUGGUAUCCAUUUGGACCCUACCAACCCUACCCACCCUACCCACCUUUUGGCUACCCCAGAUAUCCAUGGCUGUGGUAUUACUUUGUCUCAGCACCGCCUCCAGCAUCAGCUGCUCUUUCUAAAAAAAAUAAGUCAAACAGAGGACCAUGAGGUCAUGCUCAAAUUCAACCUUGACUUCAUGUUCUCUAAAAGCUGCCUGCUCGAAGAAGGCAUACUGAGGCCAAAGAGGAAACCUUUGUUGACUCAUAUCUUUGACUCAAGGCAUUUAACUAUGUUCAGUGUGAUACCUCUUCUAUAAUAAACAUUAAUGGCAAAUGUUUCAAGAUCUGCGAUUUCAUUGGUUUGGGUUAUCUCUCAAUGCAUAUCAUGACCCCUCUACACUUUAAAAGAUAGUAUUCAUCAGUUACUGUGACUGGAUUUGUGUGGAU